This 484-nucleotide ribosomal RNA is filed under the name uncultured bacterium. Its description in RNAcentral is "partial 16S ribosomal RNA". It matches the Rfam family "Bacterial small subunit ribosomal RNA", at positions 30 to 507 of the family's 1533-position model. The record is from RNAcentral.
AUUGAACGCUGGCGGCAGGCCUAACACAUGCAAGUCGAGCGGAUGAAGGGAGCUUGCUCCUGGAUUCGGCGGCGGACGGGUGAGUAAUGCCUAGGAAUCUGCCUGGUAGUGGGGGAUAACGUCCGGAAACGGGCGCUAAUACCGCAUACGUCCUGAGGGAGAAAGUGGGGGAUCUUCGGACCCCACGCUAUCAGAUGAGCCUAGGUCGGAUUAGCUAGUUGGUGGGGUAAAGGCCUACCAAGGCGACGAUCCGUAACUGGUCUGAGAGGAUGAUCAGUCACACUGGAACUGAGACACGGUCCAGACUCCUACGGGAGGCAGCAGUGGGGAAUAUUGGACAAUGGGCGAAAGCCUGAUCCAGCCAUGCCGCGUGUGUGAAGAAGGUCUUCGGAUUGUAAAGCACUUUAAGUUGGGAGGAAGGGCAGCAAGUUAAUACCUUGCUGUUUUGACGUUACCAACAGAAUAAGCACCGGCUAACUUCGUG